Molecule: long non-coding RNA, 160 nt
Filed under: Dromaius novaehollandiae (emu)
Lineage: Eukaryota; Metazoa; Chordata; Aves; Casuariiformes; Dromaiidae
Description: lncRNA (ENSDNVG00000013017.1)
Source: RNAcentral
CUUCAGAGUCUGAAAGGUCUUCCUGGACACUGAAAUCAUCUUAUCCCUGUAAGAUGUUAGCUUGUCACAACUUGCAGAUGAUGGUCUCCCUUUUGCUGCAAUGUGUUCUGGUGUGUUCGGAUUUUUCUGCCAGCCUCCGUUCCCCUUAUCUCCCUUGGAU